UACGGAAGGCAGCAGUGGGGAAUAUUGCACAAUGGGCGAAAGCCUGAUGCAGCUAUGCCGCGUGUAUGAAGAAGGCCUUAGGGUUGUAAAGUACUUUCAUCGGGGAGGAAAAACAAAACUAAUAAUUUUAUUUCUUGACGUUACCCGAAAAAGAAGCACCGGCUAACUCCGUGCCAGCAGCCGCGGUAAUACGGAGGGUGCUAGCGUUAAUCAGAAUUACUGGGCGUAAAGAGCACGUAGGUGGUUUUUUUAAGUCAGAUGUGAAAUCCCUGGGCUUAACCUGGAACUGCAUUUUGAAACUGAAAUACUAGAGUAUCGUAGAGGGAGGUAGAAUUCUAGGUGUAGCGGUGAAAUGCGUAGAUAUCUGGAGGAAUACCUGUGGCGAAAGCGGCCUCCUAAACGAAUACUGACACUGAGGUGCGAAAGCGUGGGGAGCGAAACAGGGAUUAGAUA
RNAcentral lists this ribosomal RNA (453 nucleotides) under uncultured bacterium. Its description in RNAcentral is "bacterial SSU rRNA". It matches the Rfam family "Bacterial small subunit ribosomal RNA", at positions 340 to 784 of the family's 1533-position model. The record is from RNAcentral.